This 654-nucleotide ribosomal RNA is filed under the name Thysanoptera sp. NZAC 03013649. Its description in RNAcentral is "eukaryotic LSU rRNA". It matches the Rfam family "Eukaryotic large subunit ribosomal RNA", at positions 396 to 911 of the family's 3401-position model. The record is from RNAcentral. Lineage: Eukaryota; Metazoa; Arthropoda; Insecta; Thysanoptera.
UACGUGAAACUGAGCUGGUAAAAGCGGACAGACUCGAAAAGUGCGAACAGAGCUGAUUCACGCCGACCCUGUAGGCCACUGUGGUGUAGAGAUACGUUUCCCUCGGGAAUAGGCACUCUGCGCUGCUUUGCGUCGAAAGGGGAGGCUGCACUUCUACUUAGUAGCACGUCGCGGCUCGUUGAGUCGUCGUUCUAAGGCCCGCGAUGGAGCCCUCGCCUUGUGCGUUGACUCGUGGUGUCCCGAUCGGCGCUCGACGGUGCUUGUACGGACGGAACCUCCAAUGAGAGUCUGUGUCCCGUUAAAAGGGGGCAAACGGACUUGGUUCCGUCGGUCCGCGGCGCUUCUGCUUUCGACAUCUGUCCGUCCCGUCUUGAAACACGGACCAAGGAGUCUAACAUGUGCGCGAGUCAUUGGGCUCGCGAAACCUAAAGGCGAAAUGAAAGUAAAGGCUGGUGCAAACCGGUUUAGGGGUGAUGGUCGCGCUUCCAUGCCGGCCCGCAACCCCGGGGCGUCACAUUCUCUUGAGAAGUGGCGUACCUUGAGCGCACACGUUGGUACCCGAAAGAUGAUGAACUAUGCCUGGCCAGGGUGAAGUCAGGGGAAACCCUGAUGGAAGCCCGUAGCGAUUCUGACGUGCAAAUCGAUCGUCAGAGC